GACGAACGCUGGCGGCGUGCUUAACACAUGCAAGUCGAACGGGGCGAAGUGAUAGCUUGCUAUUAUGGAGCCUAGUGGCAAACGGGUGAGUAACGCGUAGGCAACCUGCCCUUCAGAUGGGGGACAACACCUCGAAAGGGGUGCUAAUACCGAAUGACGUUUCCUAGUCGCAUGACCUGGAAACCAAGGCCGGGCAACCGGUCACUGAAGGAUGGGCCUGCGUCUGAUUAGCUAGUUGGUGGGGUAACGGCCCACCAAGGCGACGAUCAGUAGCCGACCUGAGAGGGUGACCGGCCACAUUGGGACUGAGACACGGCCCAAACUCCUACGGGAGGCAGCAGUGGGGAAUAUUGCACAAUGGGGGAAACCCUGACCCAGCAACGCCGCGUGAAGGAAGAAGGGCCUCGGUUGGUAAACUUCUUUAAGUGGUAGAGUAGAAGA
This 441-nucleotide ribosomal RNA is filed under the name uncultured bacterium. RNAcentral's name for it is "bacterial SSU rRNA". It matches the Rfam family "Bacterial small subunit ribosomal RNA", at positions 28 to 454 of the family's 1533-position model. The record is from RNAcentral.